Molecule: transfer RNA, 73 nt
Filed under: Marmota monax (woodchuck)
Lineage: Eukaryota; Metazoa; Chordata; Mammalia; Rodentia; Sciuridae
Description: tRNA.Ala
Source: RNAcentral
GCGGUUGUGGCUCAGCGGUAAAGCGCUCACCUAGCAUGUGUGUGAGGCCUUGGGUUCGAUCCUCAGCACCACA